CGGAAAUUAGCGCAGGGGUAGCGCGGCUGUUUUGGGAACAGUAGGUCACAUGUUCAAUUCUUGUAUUUCCGA
Non-coding RNA from Protobothrops mucrosquamatus (brown spotted pit viper), 72 nucleotides. The record is from the annotation of a RefSeq genome assembly. NCBI's taxonomy places the organism in Eukaryota, Metazoa, Chordata, Lepidosauria, Squamata, Viperidae.